This 578-nucleotide ribosomal RNA is filed under the name Ustilentyloma graminis. RNAcentral's name for it is "eukaryotic LSU rRNA". It matches the Rfam family "Eukaryotic large subunit ribosomal RNA", at positions 77 to 668 of the family's 3401-position model. The record is from RNAcentral. Lineage: Eukaryota; Fungi; Basidiomycota; Microbotryomycetes; Microbotryales; Ustilentylomataceae.
UCCCUAGUAGCGGCGAGCGAGCGGGAAGAGCUCAAAUUUAUAAUCUGGCACCUUCGGUGUCCGAGUUGUAAUCUCUAGAAGUGUUUUCCGCGUUGGACCGCACACAAGUCUGUUGGAAUACAGCGGCAUAGUGGUGAAACCCCCGUAUAUGGUGCGGACGCCCAGCGCUUUGUGAUACACUUUCAAUGAGUCGAGUUGUUUGGGAAUGCAGCUCAAAUUGGGUGGUAAAUUCCAUCUAAAGCUAAAUAUUGGCGAGAGACCGAUAGCGAACAAGUACCGUGAGGGAAAGAUGAAAAGCACUUUGGAAAGAGAGUUAACAGUACGUGAAAUUGUUGGAAGGGAAACGCUUGAAGUCAGACUUGCUUGCCGGAGCUUGCUUCGGUUUGCAGGCCAGCAUCAGUUUUCCGGGGUGGAUAAUGACGGUUUGAAGGUAGCAGUCUCGGCUGUGUUAUAGCUUUCCGUUGGAUACAUCCUGGGGGACUGAGGAACGCAGCGUGCUUUUUGCGAAAGACUCGUCUUUUUCACGCUUAGGAUGCUGGUGGAAUGGCUUUAAACGACCCGUCUUGAAACACGGACCA